This is a long non-coding RNA of Oncorhynchus tshawytscha (Chinook salmon), 1679 nucleotides long. NCBI's taxonomy places the organism in Eukaryota, Metazoa, Chordata, Actinopteri, Salmoniformes, Salmonidae. The record is from Ensembl.
GUUUAUGUCUCCCCCUCUCCCAGCGAUCUGGGGGCUUGGGGUUUAUAUCUCCCCCUCUCCCAGCGAUCUGGGGGCUUGGGGUUUAUGUCUCCCCCUCUCCCAGCGAUCUGGGGGCUUGGGGUUUAUAUCUCCCCCUCUCCCAGCGAUCUGGGGGCUUGGGGUUUAUGUCUCCCCCUCUCCCAGCGAUCUGGGGGCUUGAAGGCCAGCCGGGGUUUAUAUCUCCCCCUCUCCCAGCGAUCUGGGGGCUUGAUGGCCAGCCGGGGUUUAUGUCUCCCCUCUCCCAGCGAUCUGGGGGCUUGAUGGCCAGCCGGGGUUUAUGUCUCCCCCUCUCCCAGCGAUCUGGGGGCUUGAUGGCCAGCCGGGGUUUAUGUCUCCCCCUCUCCCAGAGAUCUGGAGGCUUGAUGGCCAGCCGGGGUUUAUGUCUCCCCCUCUCCCAGCGAUCUGGAGUUUCUUUAGAAAUGGUAUUAUUUUACUCUGUGUGUGUUUAGGUCCCUCUGGGUAGGGCUGGGGUGAAAGGUCCAUUAAAUCCUGGUUUGGCCUCUAGAGCCCUAAUGUCUGACCUGCGCUGAGCUCUGUCGACUCUAGAAGUAGCUAGAAGGGAGCUGGAUAAUCCCUCAAACUUACAGAACAGAAGAGCGUUGACCUAGGCUCUUUCUUUCUUUCCAACAAUCAAUAUCCCCUGUAUACUCUCUCUCUCUCUCUCUCUCUCUCUCUCUCUCUCUCUCUCUCUCUCUCUCUCUCUCUCUCUCUCUCUCUCUCUCUCUCUCUCUCUCUCUCUCUCUCUCACACUCUCUCGUUAAUCCAACUAGCACACAGGAAAAACAGUCACCAGUGUCACUGUCAGUUUAUACCAAAUAUAACAUUGUUACUAGAUUUCUAGAGAACUGGUGUCACAACUAAAGCUAAAAAGCCAAUCAGACAGGUGUCGUGGAUGCUGUUUGUUAGAGCUUUCAGACUCCUGGAGAUUCAGACCACUCGUACAAAAAACCAAAACCUAUUCCGGAACCUGUCAGGUGUGACUUCUCAGUAGUUCUCUAGAAGGUUCUCGAUCAUUCUGUAGAACGUUCUACAGUUGUUCUGUAUUCUGGAACUUCUUUCAGAAAUAAUGUCCAAAAGCCAGUCAUUUGCUGUGAAAGAUGAUUGUUCAUUUCCCCAGAUAUUAUUUGUUGUUUUGGUGACACUGGCUCCGACUUCUGACGUAGUUUUUUUUAGAUCUACAGGAGAUAUUACCACAGGCUGUGUCCCAAAUCACAUUCCCUACCUAUUUGCUCUACUCUAUAAAGUAUAAUAGGGAAUAGGGUCCCGUUUGGGACGUUGGAACAGAGAGCUGAUGACGAGAUAGGUAUCGGAGAUGUUAUUAUCCCUGAGAAGAGAUGAUUAAAACUAUAUGAUAGGUAUACAAAGGAAAAGAUUGUAACGUUUGAUAAAUGUGUUAAAAUUGUUCAACUGAAAAUAGGUCUAAAGUUUGCUGUAUUUAUAAUGGCUGUAUUAAGUCGUGCCUGGUUCUCUUAUUCUUUCUUCAAACACAUUAUAUAUGCUUUCUUUUUACUUGACUACAAUUUAUUUUGCGUUCUGUAUGUAUGUUUUCACUGUAUUGUAAAAUGAUCAGAUAUCACAAUAAACUUUAAAUGGCAUUCGACGGGGGAUUGUGUGUGUUCCAUAAUUCCUUCAACAGCUAC